RNAcentral lists this ribosomal RNA (425 nucleotides) under uncultured bacterium. Its description in RNAcentral is "bacterial SSU rRNA". It matches the Rfam family "Bacterial small subunit ribosomal RNA", at positions 355 to 772 of the family's 1533-position model. The record is from RNAcentral.
UGGGGAAUUUUGGACAAUGGGGGCAACCCUGAUCCAGCCAUGCCGCGUGUGUGAAGAAGGCCUUCGGGUUGUAAAGCACUUUCGGCCGGAGCGAAAUCGCGCGAUCUAAUAAGUCGCGUGGAUGACGGUACCGGACGAAGAAGCACCGGCUAACUACGUGCCAGCAGCCGCGGUAAUACGUAGGGUGCGAGCGUGAAUCGGAAUUACGGGGCGUAAAGUGUGCGCAGGUGGCCGCGCAAGUCGAGUGUGAAAUCCCCGGGCUUAACUUGGGAAUUGCGCUCGAAACUACGUGGCUCGAGUGUAGCAGAGGAAGGUGGAAUUCCACGUGUAGCGGUGAAAUGCGUAGAGAUGUGGAGGAACACCGAUGGCGAAGGCAGCCUUCUGGGCCAACACUGACGCUCAUGCACGAAAGCGCGGGGAGCAAA